UGCACUAAGCUAAACAUCACACCGCGAAAGACCACCACCACCUUCCGCCGGCCGCCGGCCACCUCCGGCCUGCCUACGCGAGCUCCUCCCGACAGCGACAACCCCCUCACCUGGACGCGGGAACACUGCCGUGGAGGAGGAGGAGGAGAUGGAGUUCCUGUACGAUUGUGGCGCCACUGCCGUCGUCGCGGAUGUGGCAGCCGCGCUCGCGAGCACCGGCGGUAUCCAGGCGUCCUCUCCCUCUGUCGUCGCCUCCGAGAGAGGUACCGGAACGGCGAGCUGAAGAGGGCUCUUUCCGAGGCUGAAGCCUAAGCCUUCAAGCUUUCUGGAAGAUGGCAUUAGGCAGUGUUCUUUCCGAUGGAGACAACUUCUGAUGCUACCUAGAUUGGCCGAUCUACUUUUUUUAUCAGCGACGCUACUAUCUAUUUCAUGAGGAUGCACUUGGCAGAUCUAUAAGAUCGCAAUGUUCA
Triticum dicoccoides is the source of this 470-nucleotide long non-coding RNA. RefSeq lists it as uncharacterized. The record is from RefSeq and is a predicted model, not a curated record. The transcript is spliced from 3 exons. NCBI's taxonomy places the organism in Eukaryota, Viridiplantae, Streptophyta, Magnoliopsida, Poales, Poaceae.